CACAUCUCACCCGAGGUGCUUCGAGUGGGUAGAGUGAGAGAUGUGCCUGCUCGUGCUGUAGAGCUCACAUGCUGCUGUGCCAAGACAAGGCCCAGCUAAUGGAGAUGUUAGAAAUGAGUCAGUUACCUGAGGGGAAUCCGAACAGUAUUCAUCUUGGGAAAGAGGAAGCAGGGGCAUGUCAGGGUGUGCAUUUUGCAUUUGAUACAAAAUAGGAGGACAGCCUAUCAGUACUACUUCACAGCUCUAACUUCUGAGAAGCUGAAAUUCACAGUGCCUGAGCCCUCAGUUUCAUUACAUUCACAGGGAUCUUUCUUCUUAGACCCUGGGGACAAGCAUGGCUGGCAUGCAGUAGGAUUGCAUAGCUAAGGGUUGGAGAGUUGGUAAAAUAUUUAAAUUGCGGUAUAGCCCACUAAUGGAUGACUGUACUAUUAGGUAUUAACUGGAUGAAAAUAAUGACAAGAACUGCGUAACUGUCUUUCUUCCAGGAUAUGAGAUGCCUCGAGGAUAGGACAAGCUCCCAAUGCAUUACAGUAAUAAAUCUGAAAUCCAUUAGUGGAACAUAUCAAAUAUUCAAGUAAAACCACUCAAAAUGUUUUAUAUCUUGGUUAUUUUUUUAAUGACCCAAGUUUCUACACAAAGGGCAGCAGUGAGAGAACAAGAACAGAUAGUGACCAUUAUAAUUAAAAUUACAAACAUUUCGUUUAUAAUCUGCUGCUUUUAGGGGCUGGUGACUUUUUGAAAACUCAUAUUUUUACCUGAAAUUGUAAUGGCUGAUCUAACUGAAGGCAAUGAUGUUGUCGUUAAUCUGGAGACGGCCUGUUGGGUUAGUAUGAGGGAUAAGGAAACAAUCUUUUAGUUUAAAAAAAUCCCCUAGUCUCUUUCAUUUCUCAUGCUUGGCAACAGGAGACUGAUGAGGCAUAUCCCUUGGGCAAAAGUCAAGUUGUACUUUUAUUUUAGAUCUGAGAGGAUGAAGAGGCUUUGUGCAUUGCACUGCAUAUUUGAGGAGGGUUGCACCAAAAGAUCAAGGUUGAACUUUAGUGCCACCACACUAGCAUCCAGCCUCAGGUUUUUCACAGUUUUAAAGUUCAGGCUUGAGCCCCAGGAGUGACAAAUGUGGCCAAGUAGCAACUAAUGGCUUUUCUGCUGGCUGUGUUAACCCUUUUCCUUCUCUUGGUGAAGUCAAGCCUGGUUUUGGAACAAGCAUUAUUCUAUCAGAGCAAACUUAAUAUUGUCGUCUUAGGAAUCUGGGCUAACCCAUCUGGGUUAUUUAGGAUUCAGCUCCCAGUUCACUUGGUUGACAGUGAGAGGACUCUGUCAACGAGGGAUGUUUGUGCAAGAAUUGCUUAUUUGGUAUGAUCUCAGCGCUUUUGAGUAUGCUGCUGUGGAUAAUUGACUGUAAACAUUUCCAGCAACAUACACAGAAUUUCCCAGCUAAGAUCAGCUUUAUUACAACACAAUCUGCAGUCCAUGCUCUUCAGCUGACCACAAAUGCUACUCUUUGACCUGAAAUUCAAGGGCACGUUUUCGGGGACUGUGGCACAGAGGAGGACUACAAGCCCUUCUGGCGCUGACAGCAUCCCAUCCAGUAGCGUUCAUUUGUGCAUCACAUAAAAUAGGACUUCAAGAUAAACUGCCAUGGGAUAAUAUCUGCCUACAUGCACAGUGUUGUGUAAUUGUUUCCAGUACACUUAUUAUCAUGUAUAAUUACUUUAGUACACUCGAUAUGGAAAAAAAGCUGCUAUAAGCAUGCAGGCAGUACUUUGGAUUAUAUGACUAGCUUAGCUCUGUUACCAAUAUCCCCAGCCCCACGACUUGAUUAAAUUCUCUGGACAGUCCAAAGGAAACUCUUCUGGAUUCAACUUGGAAAAAAACAAGAUUGCUAGAAAAGCGUUGUGUAGAGAAGAAAUAUCUCAUCCUGAAAAACAUCUUUUGCCUAAACUUAGCAACAUGGUGGAAUUUCUGUAAGAGUGGACUCAGACAGGAAUCCCUCUUAAAUGCUUCCUUUGCUCAAACAAGAUCUGUUUCAUAACUAGGCCACUUUAUUAUUUCCUUAUCUCUUGAGUAGCUGCCUUUCAGUCUCAAGUAGGGACUGUUCCCCAUUCCCGAAUCAAUAUCUAUCAAUCAUAGAGCAAAUUCACAUUUAUUUGGGAAAUGUGACCAAGAAGUGUGACUUUAGUACAUAUUCAAUCUGAUGGGGUUUUUUUGUUUGUUUAUUUUGUGAUUUUUUUCCCUUUGUGUUCAGUUGAAGCAAUUAGAAUAAUUGCUGUCAUUAAAUUGUACGCCUAGUUAACCAAA
Molecule: long non-coding RNA, 2295 nt
Organism: Colius striatus (speckled mousebird)
Lineage: Eukaryota; Metazoa; Chordata; Aves; Coliiformes; Coliidae
Exons: 2
Source: RefSeq, a predicted model, not a curated record